This 441-nucleotide ribosomal RNA is filed under the name uncultured Rhodocyclaceae bacterium. RNAcentral describes it as "bacterial SSU rRNA". It matches the Rfam family "Bacterial small subunit ribosomal RNA", at positions 941 to 1382 of the family's 1533-position model. The record is from RNAcentral. Lineage: Bacteria; Pseudomonadati; Pseudomonadota; Betaproteobacteria; Rhodocyclales; Rhodocyclaceae.
GUGGAGUUAAUUCGAUGCAACGCGAAAACCUUACCUACCCUUGACAUGUCCGGAAUCCCGAAGAGAUUGGAGUGCUCGCAAGAGAGCCGGAACACAGGUGCUGCAUGGCUGUCGUCAGCUCGUGUCGUGAGAUGUUGGGUUAAGUCCCGCAACGAGCGCAACCCUUGUCAUUAGUUGCCAUCAUUUGGUUGGGCACUCUAAUGAGACUGCCGGUGACAAACCGGAGGAAGGUGGGGAUGACGUCAAGUCCUCAUGGCCCUUAUGGGUAGGGCUUCACACGUCAUACAAUGGUCGGUACAGAGGGUUGCCAACCCGCGAGGGGGAGCUAAUCCCACAAAGCCGAUCGUAGUCCGGAUCGCAGUCUGCAACUCGACUGCGUGAAGUCGGAAUCGCUAGUAAUCGUGGAUCAGCAUGUCACGGUGAAUACGUUCCCGGGUCCUU